Long non-coding RNA from Perca fluviatilis (European perch), 735 nucleotides. RefSeq lists it as uncharacterized. The transcript is spliced from 2 exons. NCBI's taxonomy places the organism in Eukaryota, Metazoa, Chordata, Actinopteri, Perciformes, Percidae. The record is from RefSeq and is a predicted model, not a curated record.
AGCUUUAAAGAAGCGCAAUGAAGAAGAACAAUGUUGCUGAGCAUGGCUGUUUAUAUUUCUUUAACUGUCUAUGGGUUAUAGGCAACUAUGCAUGGAUGUAUUAACGUUUAACGUCGGUGUCAUGUUGUGGAUUUUGGUAUUAUAAAAUAUUGGGAAUGAAUGCACGUAUGUUUAAUAGUUAUGGUCAACAGCCAGUCGUUUAUACCUCGAAGUUUUAAACGUUCAACCAACCUCCUAAAAGCUUAACAGCCGGCGGCGUUCGCUGAGCACAGAGGGCCCAUUGCCUUCUCUUGCUUUGCCCAUCACUGCUGCCUGGAUGCAAGAUCCUCUCACCAGUGUGACUCUGCAAACUUGAGCCCAAGACAUUCCACGUCAUUUGUCUGCAACAGUCCCUUUUUCUUGAUCAUACAUACAAUAAUUGUGAAUUCAUAAUCCAAAUGACCCUGCAUUAAUUUGCUAAACCUGCUAUCUCUCUCAAUUUUUAAUUCAGUGACUAGACAAUAAGUAAAUCUUAGUUAAUAUUUUCUGAUGCUUAUCGUGAAUGAACAAUAAUUAAUUUGAUUAUGAUAUGAUUUGUGUUACUGUGAGGUACAAAAAUGGACUGCUUAGGAGGAAAAACAAGAUUCUAAAUUGAAGAAAAAAGAGAAAUAAAAAACCACUGCCUAUAAAAUGUAUUGACCAUUCUUGGAUUUUGGCAUAUUUGUUUUCAACAUCAUUAAAUCAGUGGAGGCUUGA